Molecule: unclassified non-coding RNA, 433 nt
Filed under: soil metagenome
Description: partial contains 5.8S ribosomal RNA, internal transcribed spacer 2, and large subunit ribosomal RNA
Rfam family: 5.8S ribosomal RNA (bases 1-120)
Source: RNAcentral
GAUGAAGAACGCAGCGAAAUGCGAUACGUAAUGUGAAUUGCAGAAUUCAGUGAAUCAUCGAAUCUUUGAACGCAUAUUGCGCUCUCUGGUAUUCCGGAGAGCAUGCUUGUUUGAGUAUCAGUAAACACCUCAACUUCCAUAUCUUUUUUGAAAUGGGAGUUGGACUUGAGUGAUCCCAACGCUUUUCCUCACCGAAAAGUGGCGGGUUACUUGAGAUGCAGGUGCAGCUGGACUUUUCUCUGAGCUAUAAGCAUAUCUAUUUAGUCUGCCUAAAAAACAGAUUAUUACCUUUGCUGCAGCUAACAUAAAGGAGAUUAGUUCUUGUGCUGACUGAUGCAGGAUUCACAAAGACAGGCUUCGGCCGACUUUGUAAACUCGAUCUCAAAUCAAGUAAGACUACCCGCUGAACUUAAGCAUAUCAAUAAGCGGAGGA